RNAcentral lists this ribosomal RNA (321 nucleotides) under uncultured eukaryote. RNAcentral describes it as "partial 18S ribosomal RNA". It matches the Rfam family "Eukaryotic small subunit ribosomal RNA", at positions 1470 to 1796 of the family's 1831-position model. The record is from RNAcentral.
CCCUUAGAUGUCCUGGGCCGCACGCGCGCUACACUGACAUGUUCAACAAGCCUCCUAGUUCGACAGGAUUUGGGAAAUCUUUGAACGCAUGUCGUGAUAGGGAUAGAUCAUUGCAAUUAUUGAUCUUGAACGAGGAAUUCCUAGUAAACGCGAGUCAUCAGCUCGCAUUGAUUACGUCCCUGCCCUCUGUACACACCGCCCGUCGCACCUACCGAUUGAAUGUUUCGGUGAAGAUUCCGGAUAGGACUUUUUUGAUUUAUUUCAAUUUUGUCUUAAAAGCUAUCUAAACCUCAACAUUUAGAGGAAGGUGAAGUCGUAACA